GGGUCAGUAGGCUGGUCGUGCCACCGGUACGUACUGUUCUCACUGAUUCCUCCUUCCUGAACAACCGUAAUGCCAUUAAUUUGGUGUUGCGGGGAAACAGGACUGUUACUUUGAAAAAAUUAGAGUGUUUAAAGCAAGCUAACGCUUGAAUACAUUAUCAUGGAAUAAUGAAAUAGGACGAUCGAUCCUAUUUUGUUGGUUUCUAGGAUUGACGUA
RNAcentral lists this ribosomal RNA (216 nucleotides) under Glomeromycotina sp. RNAcentral describes it as "partial small subunit ribosomal RNA". The stretch from base 37 to 216 matches the Rfam family "Eukaryotic small subunit ribosomal RNA", at positions 683 to 864 of the family's 1831-position model. Lineage: Eukaryota; Fungi; Glomeromycota. The record is from RNAcentral.